GUACCUGCAGUAGAGCCUGUGCUGUGCUACGGCUGUGGCCGGCGUGGGUCCUUUUUGCCCAGGUUUCUUGGACACGGAGCAUGAGGUGAUACGUGCCUGAGAUGUGGCGUGGCACAUCCUACUUAGCACCAUGAUGAGUUCUGGCACUGGGCUUUGGAGCAAAGUCCAUCCCUAGAAAAAGGAGAAGUGGUUGCAGCUACCCCAGUAAAGAAUGGCUGGGUCACAACCCAGCAUGAAGACAAGCCUGUACUCCAGCUCUUAGGAAGCUUCCUCACCUCACAGUGGAGAAGACAAAAAGCCCAGAGAAAGCGAGAAAUCAAUGUCAGGGAUGGGAGUAAAAGCAACAGAGGCUCAUGCUUGUACAAAACCAGUCCAGCACAAGAAAGGUGUCAGCAGCUGUGGACAUAGCAAGAGGAGCAAGAACAGUCAGAAAACCUGCUGGCCAAGUGGCAGCCCAGCUGUACCUCCUAGCUUACAUCCUUUUUGGGUAAUGAAAGAAGCUGCAGUUCCUUAAGGGAAGGACAGAGGAACAUCCUCUUCAGACUGACACAAAAAGGGUUAAAGGGCCAGCUUGAGGAAGAAGGAAUUGUGACUCUUCCUGUCUGCAAAAGUAUGCCUGCUUUGGAAAGUCCAUCUACAAAUCCUAAAGAGAUUGACUAUGAAAGACCCAUACCCUCUAAAAGAUUUGGGCUGAAGUAAUAGCCAAGUGCUCGUCUCAGGCAAUUCAGAACUGCUGACUGUUAGAGCUCUGCCAUCCCCUGUUCAGCCUGUUUAUCUCACCUGAGCUUAGGAGCGAUGUGGAGCUACUGAAUCCAACAAAGCAUCAAGAGAUGCUGUCACAACCCUACAUACAAUCCACUGCAGGACCAAGCCACCAGUUCUGCACAGCUGCCAGUGCUGUCUGUGAUUCAGGAAAACUGAGAAAAGCUGAAAAGGCUGAACUUGUCACCCUGAAGGAGAGAAAAAUGCCUCAGAAAACCUCAGGAACCCUUCCAUCCAUGCUAAGAGAAUAUCUGUUCAAUUAAACAUCUUAUACCUGUGUGGCAGCAGCUUGUAUCUCUUCAUGUGCAAAAUCCCUGACUCACUGUUAGUUUCUGCCCAUAGUACCUGUCUUAAAACCCCUCAGACUGAGAGGUGACCCUUCCACUGGGUUUGUCUCCUCCUGGCCAUUGAAGGUCAUUUCAGCAAUUCCUGAAGAGCUAUCUUCUUUACAGAAAACACUUGAAGCAACAGAGUGAUUGCCAGUGUCAAGCCUGGAGCCACAGUCAAAGAAAAGGAAGUGCCCUGCCGCUGUGAAAUAAACUUUCUCCAACCCCAGGUUAAAAACAACAACAGCAACAACAAAAACAAUUAGACCUUCUACUGCUCAAAGAUAGCUAUUAAUAAACCUGCCAUUUUGCACAAGUAACACGUAUGUGCAUAUGUGUCUAUAAAGGAAAACCAAUUAAACUAUCCUCCAUAAAUUGUAAUUGCUUCUUUUGUAUUCAUAUUAAUACUUACUUUAAACCCUGAUGUCUAACUCUUCAUGAGCAUUCCUGUCUAGAGAAAUUAAUUUAUGCUUUGUUCUGAAAGCAUAUCAGCAAAUGGGCAUUGAUGCUGAUAGCCAUUUAUUGCUCCGGCAGUGAGGUUAAACAGCUCGUGCUUUUAACUGCGUGGUACAAAAGAUAUAAAACUAUUUGCUUGAGAUAUUAAUCCAGGAUGACCUGAUAUAACAUCACAGUAAAAGAGCUUUUCCCAAAGAAGGGAAUUGUGUGCUCUGCUCAGUACCUCCUGCUGACUCUCUGCUCCCAGUGAAUAAACACACAGCUGAAUUCUCCCAGCCAGGUGUGAUCCAGCAAUGAACUGGCAGCACAUCCUUGUAUCUGCGAAUGCCAAGUCUGACUCACAGAAGCAGCCCACCGCCAGCUCUGCAGCCAAAAUGCUUGCUCCAUUUUCUUAAGAAUCAACAAAAUACCACACGAACAAAAAAUUCUCUUAGUAUAUAUCUCCAAAGAAUGAAGCACCUUGGCGUACAUACAAUGAAGCAUCAUGUGUGAGAAUGGUUUUUCGUGACUCAGCCACCAUAGAUGAUUUCAUGGAAGCAAAAAGGGAAGCUGUGAGUGAAGGAAAUGAUAAAUGGUCUAAUGAUUAAAGAUGAUUUACAAAGUCUGAUCUCUACAGAUGACCUUGUAAUUUGAAGGAGAAGAGCUUAAAUGUUGGAAUAUUUCAUCUGAAGUAAUCUGUUCACCAGAAGAGGGAAACCACGUGCCCUCAGACUGCAGCUGCUGAAUUGUCCAGCAUGUUGGCAAACAAAAGUACAUGCUCUGUUUGCAUAUUUGUCCUGUGCCUUUUGUGUCCCAACUUCAAUUCUAUUCUGUUUCAUUCUGUUCUUCUGUUACUCAGAAAAAAACCCUGAAAAACAUUAAACUCAGCUCCUCAGCUCUAAGAAGACUCUCAUGCAAUCAUAUUAUCUCUUGACCAUAAAAUGCACAAAUGGAUUUGAGUAAGUCAGUCUAGCUUUGGUUUGGUAAUAAGGAAAAAGGGUUAACAAAAUACAUGUUCAUAUACCUAAAGAUAAGAAAAGUUAUGUGAUAGAUACCAAUGUCUGAACAGUAGUCCACAGGAUGCAACUCUCACAGAAUAGAAGAAAAAUCAAGCAACCUCGUGGUUAAUUGCCGUAAUGGAAUACUGAUAGUUGCCAUUGGCUGAGCAAGAAUUCACAUGUUGCUGAUCCUCUAGUUCCCUGUGAUACUUUGGAUGUUAAGCUCUGAAGCACUGUUGAAUUUGGCAAAGCGAGGACAAAAACCCAUUCCUAUUCUGAGCAUGCUACUUCAGCUACUUGCCUUUCAUUCAAGAAAGGGAUUUGUUGACAGCAAAAUUAUUUUCUUAGAAAAACACUAAAUGAGAAGAUGACAAAUGCUGUUGUGAAUGUUCACACAACUCCAGGAGCGAUCAACCAUCAUUAUUCAGACAGGCCUUGUGCAGGAAGGGAUAGCGCUAAAAUCUUGAAAUUUGGCAAGAAUAAGGUUUUCAAUAAAGACUAGCACUUAGUGUUCUAGUUUCAUUAGCCAGAUUCAUGCUCAUUUGGAAUUGACCAUGUGCAGUGGAACAUCUUGGCUGUAUGGAUGCAA
This is a long non-coding RNA of Lagopus muta (rock ptarmigan), 3110 nucleotides long. RefSeq lists it as uncharacterized. The transcript has 7 exons. NCBI's taxonomy places the organism in Eukaryota, Metazoa, Chordata, Aves, Galliformes, Phasianidae. The record is from RefSeq and is a predicted model, not a curated record.